This 1118-nucleotide long non-coding RNA is filed under the name Callithrix jacchus (white-tufted-ear marmoset). RNAcentral describes it as "lncRNA (ENSCJAG00000080427.1)". The record is from RNAcentral. Lineage: Eukaryota; Metazoa; Chordata; Mammalia; Primates; Cebidae.
GGAUGGAAGAUCCACAGCUUCUGUGCCUUUCUUGAGAAGUUGGACACCUUCACCCCUAAACAUGAGCCACUAGUUUUUGUUUGCAAAGAAAUGUUGAAAAAAACAAGGGUUGCGUUCUGCCUCUUCAGUUUCCACAACACUGGACACAAACUUCUUGAAAGAAUGAGUGUGACAACUACCAACAAUACUGAGGGUCUUGCUCUGUCACCCAGGUUGGAGUGCGGUGGAGUGAUCACCACUCUCUGCAGCCUCAACCUCAUGGACUCAAGCCAUCCUCCUGCCUCAGCCUCCUGAGUAGCUGGGACUACAGGCAUGUACCACUAUACCUGGGUAAUUUAUAAAAAUUAUUUAUAGAGACAGAGUCUUGCCAUGUUGCCAAAAGCCAUCCCCACAAAUUCCUCCUUGCUAGCAGAACCUCUAUUAGAUGUUACUUGAAGAGCCUAUAAUCUCAAAGAAUGUGAUCCUAGUUUCUGUCCUAAGAGCAGGCACAUGGCCUAGUUCUGUUCAAUAAAGUGAAGGAAAAAUCCACUGGGGGUCUCCUGAGAAAUAUUUUCUCCUUUGAUAAAAGAAGGGGCUACUAAGGGAGGCUCCCUGCCUGUACUCAUAGCCACUUCUGUCUUUGAACAUAGUUAGAGAAGGACAUGAUGCACGGAAAUCCCGCAACAAUCUUGCAUCUCUGUAAAGUCGAAGAGACUCCAAACCUGACAACAUAGAGACACUGGGUCAACACAUCUACAAUUGCCUUCUUGCAAACUGGGGGUGGGGAAUAAAGCUCAUUUAUUUAAGCCACUAUUAGGUGACUUGCCACUGAAAACAUUCCUGAUAUAACAAGGCAUCUGUAACAUACAGCAUAUUAUCAAUAAUUAUACAUGGGCUGAUUUUCUAUGGCAUCUAUUUGCUCAUUCAUUCAUUUAGUCAGUCACCAAAUGUUUCUUAAGCAACGACUAUGUGGCAGGCACUAUACUAGGCACCAGAAACAUAAUGCAAAGGAAGAUAGCCACAUCCUCCUGCAGUCUGAGUGAAUAGGUCUCAGUUAUUCAGUUCAUGGCUAACUUGUAACCCUUCUUCUCCUUCUCUCCCCAGCUUUUAAGGUAGGUGGUCUACAUGCAUUUGCGGCC